UCUUAGCUUGCUAAGGCUGAUGGCGACCGGCGCACGGGUGAGUAACACGUAUCCAACCUGCCGUCUACUCUUGGCCAGCCUUCUGAAAGGAAGAUUAAUCCAGGAUGGGAUCAUGAGUUCACAUGUCCGCAUGAUUAAAGGUAUUUUCCGGUAGACGAUGGGGAUGCGUUCCAUUAGAUAGUAGGCGGGGUAACGGCCCACCUAGUCAACGAUGGAUAGGGGUUCUGAGAGGAAGGUCCCCCACAUUGGAACUGAGACACGGUCCAAACUCCUACGGGAGGCAGCAGUGAGGAAUAUUGGUCAAUGGGCGAUAGCCUGAACCAGCCAAGUAGCGUGAAGGAUGACUGCCCUAUGGGUUGUAAACUUCUUUUAUAAAGGAAUAAAGUCGGGUAUGCAUACCCGUUUGCAUGUACUUUAUGAAUAAGGAUCGGCUAACUCCGUGCCAGCAGCCGCGGUAAUACGGAGGAUCCGAGCGUUAUCCGGAUUUAUUGGGUUUAAAGGGAGCGUAGAUGGAUGUUUAAGUCAGUUGUGAAAGUUUGCGGCUCAACCGUAAAAUUGCAGUUGAUACUGGAUGUCUUGAGUGCAGUUGAGGCAGGCGGAAUUCGUGGUGUAGCGGUGAAAUGCUUAGAUAUCACGAAGAACUCCGAUUGCGAAGGCAGCCUGCUAAGCUGCAAC
RNAcentral lists this ribosomal RNA (675 nucleotides) under uncultured Bacteroidales bacterium. RNAcentral's name for it is "bacterial SSU rRNA". It matches the Rfam family "Bacterial small subunit ribosomal RNA", at positions 70 to 740 of the family's 1533-position model. The record is from RNAcentral. Lineage: Bacteria; Pseudomonadati; Bacteroidota; Bacteroidia; Bacteroidales.